Molecule: long non-coding RNA, 1118 nt
Organism: Ostrea edulis (European flat oyster)
Lineage: Eukaryota; Metazoa; Mollusca; Bivalvia; Ostreida; Ostreidae
Exons: 3
Source: RefSeq, a predicted model, not a curated record
UAGAAGUUAUGUAUUAAAAUUUUGUAACAUAACCCCCCCCCCCCUUUCAGAAGUUUAGUCCUUAAAGGGAACGUAGGGUCAAAAAUAAAAUUUUGAUAUUUGAAAACUGGUACCAUGCAGACAACAAAAUCUAGCAUAGAAAAAAUAAUUGCUGCUGAUAACAAGAUUUAAUCUGUCAUUUACACUAAAAACUGAGCUGAAUGGGAGAAUCUCUUAUCAUGGCGGCUGAUGACGUGUAUGCGGCAAUUCAUUACAACUGCUGUGCCUAGCACUAAAUGGGUUACAGAGUAUCUAUGAUCUAAAUAUCGGGAGUUCAAGCAAAAUUUUGCACUGUGGUCAAAGGAAAAGGAAUACAUGUAUGUACCUUUUAGCAUCCCUGAUCUCCCCCCAAAACUAUGAACAUUGUGCAAUAAUUGGAUACAUAACCUUGGAAAUGAAUCUUUUGUUUUUGAACGGCAUUUUGAGAAAGAGUCUUUUAAAGAGGAUAUCAGGCUAAUCCAUUUUCUUUUGGUAACCAAUGAAAACUCAUAUGCAGAACCUAUUGACCAGCCUUGACUAUCAGCAUCUAAGGAAACAGCUCAAUGAAGACAUGAAUAGUGACAAAAAUAUCCCACUCUCAAUCCAUAUUGAAGAAUAAAUCAACUUUGUGCAACAUAAUACAGAUAGAAUUGACCAGUCAUUGUCCAUCAUAUGUGCUAAGGAAUGUUCAAGUGAAGAAUGAAGAAAUGAAGAUAAUGAACAAUCCUGUAUAAAGAAUACAAAAUUAAAAGUUUAAGAAUUAAGAGUGUCGUUUUCAGCAAUUUAUCCCAAUGCACUAGUGUUUUCAUUUGAAUCUGCUAAUAAUUCCUCUUCAUUAUAAUCAGGCUCAUAUUGAUAUCCUUUGCAGUCAGACAUGAUCAGAUGCUUUCACUGAGAGGCAAUUGCCCGGUAUACGUCAUAAACAGAUGGGAUUGUGGGAAAUAUCUUAAAGAGCGAUAACUUUAUCUUGCAAAAUGGCAGCCUCCAGCAGAUGAUGUGUAGCUAUAUUUAAUAGCCGAUUUCUACACAACAGAUUACAAUCAAAUGGAAAUAACCAGUGGACUUAAUUACUAAAUAUUUAGUAUUUGAAAUGUGAAAAU